AACGCUAGCGGCAGGCUAACACAUGCAAGUCGAGGGGUAACAGGAGUAGCAAUACUCGCUGACGACCGGCGCACGGGUGAGUAACGCGUAUGCAACCUACCUUUAACUGGGGCAUAGCUCCGAGAAAUCGGGAUUAAUACCCCAUAAUGUUACAAUUUCGCAUGUUAUUGUAACUAAAACUCCGGUGGUUAAAGAUGGGCAUGCGUGUCAUUAGCUUGUUGGUGAGGUAACGGCUCACCAAGGCUACGAUGACUAGGGGGUCUGAGAGGAUGAUCCCCCACACUGGUACUGAGACACGGACCAGACUCCUACGGGAGGCAGCAGUGAGGAAUAUUGGUCAAUGGGCGAAAGCCUGAACCAGCCAUGCCGCGUGCAGGAUGACAGCCCUAUGGGUCGUAAACUGCUUUUAUACGGGAAGAAACCCCUGAUCGUGAUCGGGGCUGACGGUACCGUAAGAAUAAGGAUCGGCUAACUCCGUGCCAGCAGCCGCGGUAAUACGGAGGAUCCUAGCGUUAUCCGGAUUUAUUGGGUUUAAAGGGUGCGUAGGCGGAAUAAUAAGUCAGUGGUGAAAUCCUGCAGCUUAACUGUAGAAUUGCCAUUGAUACUGUUAUUCUUGAAUGCAGUUGAGGUAGGCGGAAUGUGUAAUGUAGCGGUGAAAUGCUUAGAUAUUACCCAGAACACCGAUUGCGUAGGCAGCUUGCUAAACUGUGAUUGACGCUGAGGCACGAAAGCGUGGGUAGCAAACAGGAUUAGAUACCCUGGUAGUCCACGCCGUAAACGAUGAUUACUCGAUGUGUGCAAUAUAUCGUACGCGUCUGAGCGAAAGCAUUAAGUAAUCCACCUGGGGAGUACGGGCACGCAAGGUUGAAACUCAAAGGAAUUGACGGGGGCCCGCACAAGCGGAGGAACAUGUGGUUUA
Molecule: ribosomal RNA, 919 nt
Filed under: uncultured organism
Description: bacterial SSU rRNA
Rfam family: Bacterial small subunit ribosomal RNA
Source: RNAcentral